This 687-nucleotide long non-coding RNA is filed under the name Ananas comosus (pineapple). Its description in RNAcentral is "long non-coding RNA (ACOM_LNC039424)". Lineage: Eukaryota; Viridiplantae; Streptophyta; Magnoliopsida; Poales; Bromeliaceae. The record is from RNAcentral.
UCCUAUCCUAUUAAUAACAUCUAGGUUUAAGCAUUUAUUGGCUCCAACGAGUUAUUAUUACUAGCAGGUCGGAUCAUUACAUUUGGUAUCAGAGCCGGUUGUUCAAGUGGAAGUGUGAGAUUAGUUUCGACUGACCAAAGAGUCUAGGAAUUAAUGAUAGGCUAUGUCUGGAUCUGGAUGACGAGACUAGCGAGACAAAUUUCAUAUUUUCUGGUGAUUUUGAGUUCUGUGUGUGAUUGGACUAAUGAAAACAUUAGGGCCUAAACGGAGAGAGCCUGUGAUAUUCUAAUAUUCCCACAUCGGAUGAAAAUUAUAUUAUGAUUGGAUAUAUACAUUUUGGGCCAGUGGUUUAGAAAUUAUGAAUUAUUAUUGCGAGUGGGUCAGGUCGUUACAUAUCACCACUAAUUAUAAUUUAAAAUAGAGUUGAGCUCAUGUGCAUUUAAAAGCACAUGAGCAUUUGUGCUUGUGACUUUUAGCUGUCGAAUAGCCUCAAAAUUCGUGCAGUACUAUUAGCAAUGUCUCCUAUUAAAUUUUUUUCCAUUAAAUCUCUGUUACUAGCGCUGCACGAAUCUUGAGACAAUUCAACGACCAAAAAUUACAAGUACGUUGAGCUCAUGUGCUUUUAAAAGCACAGAAACUCAACUCCUAAAAACAAUCAAGACCACCCCCUUAACAUUUUGCCAUUUU